UGAGGAAUAUUGGUCAAUGGUCGGCAGACUGAACCAGUCAAGUCGCGUGAGGGAAGACGGCCCUACGGGUUGUAAACCUCUUUUGUCGGAGAGUAAAGUACGCUACGUGUAGCGUAUUGCAAGUAUCCGAAGAAAAAGCAUCGGCUAACUCCGUGCCAGCAGCCGCGGUAAUACGGAGGAUGCGAGCGUUAUCCGGAUUUAUUGGGUUUAAAGGGUGCGUAGGCGGCACGCCAAGUCAGCGGUGAAAUUUUCGGGCUCAACCCGGACUGUGCCGUUGAAACUGGCGAGCUAGAGUGCACAAGAGGCAGGCGGAAUGCGUGGUGUAGCGGUGAAAUGCAUAGAUAUCACGCAGAACCCCGAUUGCGAAGGCAGCCUGCUAGGGUGCGACAGACGCUGAGGCACGAAAGCGUGGGUAUCGAACAGGAUUAGAUACCCUGGUAGUCCACGCAGUAAACGAUGAAUACUAACUGUUUGCGAUACAAUGUAAGCGGUACAGCGAAAGCGUUAAGUAUUCCACCUGGGGAGUACGCCGGCAACGGUGAAACUCAAAGGAAUUGACGGGGGCCCGCACAAGCGGAGGAACAUGUGGUUUAAUUCGAUGAUACGCGAGGAACCUUACCCGGGCUCAAACGCAGGGGGAAUAUAUAUGAAAGUAUAUAGCUAGCAAUAGUCACCUGCGAGGUGCUGCAUGGUUGUCGUCAGCUCGUGCCGUGAGGUGUCGGCUUAAGUGCCAUAACGAGCGCAACCCCUAUCGACAGUUACUAACGGGUCAAGCCGAGGACUCUGUCGAGACUGCCGGCGCAAGCCGCGAGGAAGGUGGGGAUGACGUCAAAUCAGCACGGCCCUUACGUCCGGGGCGACACACGUGUUACAAUGGCAGGUACAGAAGGCAGCCAGUCAGCAAUGACGCGCGAAUCCCGAAAACCUGUCUCAGUUCGGAUUGGAGUCUGCAACCCGACUCCAUGAAGCUGGAUUCGCUAGUAAUCGCGCAUCAGCCAUGGCGCGGUGAAUACGUUCCC
This 1019-nucleotide ribosomal RNA is filed under the name uncultured bacterium. RNAcentral's name for it is "bacterial SSU rRNA". It matches the Rfam family "Bacterial small subunit ribosomal RNA", at positions 355 to 1375 of the family's 1533-position model. The record is from RNAcentral.